AUCAAUUGCAGUUAUAAAUUUUUAUGUCUAACAUUUGAUCGCUUGUCUUAUUAAACUUUUUUAUAAUUAGUAUUUUAAUUGUUAUUAGAUGAUAAAAUAUAAAUAAUACUUUAUGCUCAACUUAUUUUUAAAUUUUUUUUAAUAAAAUUUUUAAAUAAGACGGAUGGUUAAAUGUUGGGUACGGAAAAUCAGAACCACACGAGAA
Oryza glumipatula is the source of this 205-nucleotide non-coding RNA. The record is from Rfam. NCBI's taxonomy places the organism in Eukaryota, Viridiplantae, Streptophyta, Magnoliopsida, Poales, Poaceae.